This 463-nucleotide ribosomal RNA is filed under the name uncultured bacterium. RNAcentral's name for it is "bacterial SSU rRNA". It matches the Rfam family "Bacterial small subunit ribosomal RNA", at positions 29 to 524 of the family's 1533-position model. The record is from RNAcentral.
AACGAACGCUGGCGGCAGGCCUAACACAUGCAAGUCGAACGCUCCGCAAGGGGAGUGGCGCACGGGUGAGUAACACGUGGGAACCUACCUUCUGGUACGGAACAACCAAGGGAAACUUUGGCUAAGACCGUAUACGACCUCCGGGUGAAAGAUUGAUCGCCGGAAGAGGGGCCCGCGUCCGAUUAGGUAGUUGGUGAGGUAACGGCUCACCAAGCCUUCGAUCGGUAGCUGGUCUGAGAGGAUGACCAGCCACACUGGGACUGAGACACGGCCCAGACUCCUACGGGAGGCAGCAGUGAGGAAUAUUGCGCAAUGGACGAAAGUCUGACGCAGCAACGCCGCGUGCAGGAUGACGGCCCUCUGGGUUGUAAACUGCUGUAGCAGGGGAAUAACACCCGCCUUUGGCGGGUGAAGGUACCCUGAAGUAAGCUCCGGCUAACUACGUGCCAGCAGCCGCAGUAAU